CGGUGGAGCAUGUGGUUUAAUUCGAUGAUACGCGAGGAACCUUACCUGGGCUCAAAUGUAUGUUGACGUAUUCUGAAAGGGAUACUUCUUUCGGACAAUAUACAAGGUGCUGCAUGGUUGUCGUCAGCUCGUGCCGUGAGGUGUCGGGUUAAGUCCCAUAACGAGCGCAACCCUAUCAUUAGUUGCCAUCAGGUCAAGCUGGGGACUCUAAUGAAACUGCCUACGCAAGUAGUGAGGAAGGUGGGGAUGACGUCAAAUCAGCACGGCCCUUACGUCCAGGGCUACACACGUGCUACAAUGGCCGGUACAAAGGGCAGCUACCUGGUGACAGGAUGCUAAUCUCAAAAGCCGGUCUCAGUUCGGAUCGGAGUCUGCAACCCGACUCCGUGAAGCUGGAACCGCUAGUAAUCGCGCAUCAGCCAUGGCGCGGUGAAUACGUUCCCGGGCCUU
This 450-nucleotide ribosomal RNA is filed under the name uncultured Sphingobacteriales bacterium. RNAcentral describes it as "bacterial SSU rRNA". It matches the Rfam family "Bacterial small subunit ribosomal RNA", at positions 930 to 1382 of the family's 1533-position model. Lineage: Bacteria; Pseudomonadati; Bacteroidota; Sphingobacteriia; Sphingobacteriales. The record is from RNAcentral.